UGCCCAGCAUUUCCUAUCCCUACCUCCUCGCAGUACUGGCCGGGGUACGAAAAUCCUUAGGGAAGAUCGGGUAACCAAGCCCGGUGGGAACUCUGGUCGUAUGCUGGCAGGGAAGG
RNAcentral lists this ribozyme (116 nucleotides) under Aedes aegypti (yellow fever mosquito). RNAcentral's name for it is "drz-agam-1 ribozyme". It matches the Rfam family "drz-agam-1 ribozyme". The record is from Rfam by way of RNAcentral. Lineage: Eukaryota; Metazoa; Arthropoda; Insecta; Diptera; Culicidae.